Molecule: ribosomal RNA, 1236 nt
Filed under: Bacillus cereus group sp. N8
Lineage: Bacteria; Bacillati; Bacillota; Bacilli; Caryophanales; Bacillaceae
Description: partial 23S ribosomal RNA
Rfam family: Bacterial large subunit ribosomal RNA
Source: RNAcentral
UUUAAAGAGUGCGUAAUAGCUCACUAGUCGAGUGACUCUGCGCCGAAAAUGUACCGGGGCUAAAUACACCACCGAAGCUGCGAAUUGAUACCAAUGGUAUCAGUGGUAGGGGAGCGUUCUAAGUGCAGUGAAGUCAGACCGGAAGGACUGGUGGAGCGCUUAGAAGUGAGAAUGCCGGUAUGAGUAGCGAAAGACGGGUGAGAAUCCCGUCCACCGAAUGCCUAAGGUUUCCUGAGGAAGGCUCGUCCGCUCAGGGUUAGUCAGGACCUAAGCCGAGGCCGACAGGCGUAGGCGAUGGACAACAGGUUGAUAUUCCUGUACCACCUCUUUAUCGUUUGAGCAAUGGAGGGACGCAGAAGGAUAGAAGAAGCGUGCGAUUGGUUGUGCACGUCCAAGCAGUUAGGCUGAUAAGUAGGCAAAUCCGCUUAUCGUGAAGGCUGAGCUGUGAUGGGGAAGCUCCUUAUGGAGCGAAGUCUUUGAUUCCCCGCUGCCAAGAAAAGCUUCUAGCGAGAUAAAAGGUGCCUGUACCGCAAACCGACACAGGUAGGCGAGGAGAGAAUCCUAAGGUGUGCGAGAGAACUCUGGUUAAGGAACUCGGCAAAAUGACCCCGUAACUUCGGGAGAAGGGGUGCUUUCUUAACGGAAAGCCGCAGUGAAUAGGCCCAAGCGACUGUUUAGCAAAAACACAGGUCUCUGCGAAGCCGUAAGGCGAAGUAUAGGGGCUGACACCUGCCCGGUGCUGGAAGGUUAAGGAGAGGGGUUAGCGUAAGCGAAGCUCUGAACUGAAGCCCCAGUAAACGGCGGCCGUAACUAUAACGGUCCUAAGGUAGCGAAAUUCCUUGUCGGGUAAGUUCCGACCCGCACGAAAGGUGUAACGAUUUGGGCACUGUCUCAACCAGAGACUCGGUGAAAUUAUAGUACCUGUGAAGAUGCAGGUUACCCGCGACAGGACGGAAAGACCCCGUGGAGCUUUACUGUAGCCUGAUAUUGAAUUUUGGUACAGUUUGUACAGGAUAGGCGGGAGCCAUUGAAACCGGAGCGCUAGCUUCGGUGGAGGCGCUGGUGGGAUACCGCCCUGACUGUAUUGAAAUUCUAACCUACGGGUCUUAUCGACCCGGGAGACAGUGUCAGGUGGGCAGUUUGACUGGGGCGGUCGCCUCCUAAAGUGUAACGGAGGCGCCCAAAGGUUCCCUCAGAAUGGUUGGAAAUCAUUCGUAGAGUGCAAAGGCAUAAGGG